GAUGAACGCUAGCUACAGGCUUAACACAUGCAAGUCGAGGGGAAACGACAUUGAAGCUUGCUUCGAUGGUCGUCGACCGGCGCACGGGUGAGUAACGCGUAUCCAACCUGCCUCUGACCAAGGGAUAACCCGUCGAAAGUCGGCCUAAUACCUUAUGCAGUCGUCGGAAGUCAUCUGAUGACGACGAAAGAUUUCAUCGGUGAGAGAUGGGGAUGCGUCUGAUUAGCUUGUUGGCGGGGUAACGGCCCACCAAGGCAACGAUCAGUAGGGGUUCUGAGAGGAAGGUCCCCCACAUUGGAACUGAGACACGGUCCAAACUCCUACGGGAGGCAGCAGUGAGGAAUAUUGGUCAAUGGGCGAGAGCCUGAACCAGCCAAGUAGCGUGCAAGAGGACGGCCCUAUGGGUUGUAAACUGCUUUUAUGCGGGGAUAAAGUGAGGGACGUGUCCUUCAUUGCAGGUACCGCAUGAAUAAGGACCGGCUAAUUCCGUG
RNAcentral lists this ribosomal RNA (491 nucleotides) under uncultured bacterium. RNAcentral's name for it is "partial 16S ribosomal RNA". It matches the Rfam family "Bacterial small subunit ribosomal RNA", at positions 28 to 507 of the family's 1533-position model. The record is from RNAcentral.